UACGGGAGGCAGCAGGGGGGAAUAUUGGACAAUGGGCGAAAGCCUGAUCCAGCAAUGCCGCGUGUGUGAAGAAGGCCUGCGGGUUGUAAAGCCCUUUCGGUAGGGAAGAAAUCUCUUGUUCUAACAAAACAAGGGUUUGACUUAACCUACAUAAGAAGCACCGGCUAACUCUGUGCCAGCAGCCGCGGUAAUACAGAGGGUGCGAGCGUUGUCCGGAAUCACUGGGCGUAAAGGGCGUGUAGGUGGCUUGGUAAGCCGCGUGUGAAAGCCCGGGGCUCAACCCCGGAACGGCACGCGGGACUGUCAGGCUCGAGCAUGGUAGAGGCGAGUGGAAUUCCUGGUGUAGCGGUGGAAUGCGUAGAGAUCAGGAAGAACACCGGUGGCGAAGGCGGCUCGCUGGGCCAUUGCUGACACUGAGGCGCGAAAGCGUGGGGAGCAAACAGGAUUAGAUACCCUGGUAGUCCACGCCGUAAACGAUGGGCACUAGGCGUCGGGGGGAGCGACCCUCCCGGUGCCGUCGCUAACGCAAUAAGUGCCCCGCCUGGGGAGUACGGCCGCAAGGUUGAAACUCAAAGGAAAUGACGG
RNAcentral lists this ribosomal RNA (585 nucleotides) under uncultured bacterium. RNAcentral's name for it is "bacterial SSU rRNA". It matches the Rfam family "Bacterial small subunit ribosomal RNA", at positions 340 to 916 of the family's 1533-position model. The record is from RNAcentral.